UGGUCCUAGCGCUUGAAAUCAAUUAUUACUUAAUAUACACAUGCAAGUCUCCGCACCCCUGUGAAAACGCCCUAAACAUCCCACCAGAAAUAAGGAGCUGGUAUCAGGCACAAUUUUUAGCCCAAGACACCUAGCUAUGCCACACCCACAAGGGAAUUCAGCAGUGAUUAACAUUGAACAUAAGCGACAGCUUGACUCAGUUAAAGUAAAAAGAGCCGGCAAAUCUGGUGCCAGCCGCCGCGGUUACACCACGAGGCCCAAAUUGAUCUUUUUCGGCGUAAAGCGUGAUUAAAGUAUUAAAAUAAUUAUAGUUGUAUUAAAACUAAGCUGUAAUACGCUUGUCUUUAAGAAACUCAAAAACGAAAGUUACUAUAUCCACCCCAACUUGAACCCACGACAGCUAGGACACAAACUGGGAUUAGAUACCCCACUAUGCCUAGUCGUAAACUUUUAUCUACACCCAUAUCGCCAGGAAACUACGAGCAAAGCUUAAAACCCAAAGGACUUGACGGUACCCCACAUCCACCUAGAGGAGCCUGUCCUAUAAUCGAUAACCCCCGCUAAACCUCACCAUUUUUAGUUAAUCAGCCUGUAUACCUCCGUCGUCAGCUUACCCCGUGAGCGAUUUAUAGUGAGCUUAAUGUCCACACGUCAACACGUCAGGUCAAGGUGCAGUAAAUAAAAUGGGAAGUGAUGGGCUACACUCUCUAAUUUAGAAAAUACGAAAGACUACAUAUGAAACCUAGUCAAAAGGCGGAUUUAGAAGUAAAAAGAGAUCAUUAAGCUCUUUUUAACACGGCACUGGGGUGUGUACACACCGCCCUGUCACCCUCUUCAACACCAAAAAAUAGUAUAUAACAUAUCUUAGUAAAUUAGAAGAGGCAAGUCGUAACAUGGUAAGUAUACCGGAAGGUGUGCUUGGAAA
RNAcentral lists this non-coding RNA (925 nucleotides) under Pseudacris cadaverina (California treefrog). RNAcentral's name for it is "partial 12S ribosomal RNA". It matches the Rfam family "Bacterial small subunit ribosomal RNA". Lineage: Eukaryota; Metazoa; Chordata; Amphibia; Anura; Hylidae. The record is from RNAcentral.